AUUGAACGCUGGCGGCAUGCCUAACACAUGCAAGUCGAACGGAUGAAGGGUGCUUGCUGCUUACUUCAGCGGCGGACGGGUGAGUAAUGCCUAGGAGUCUUGCUGUGAGUUUCGGAUUACGUCCGGGAACCUGCGCUUAUUCCGCGUACGUCCUGAGGGAUAGAGUGGGGGAUCGUCGGAUCUCUCGCUAUCAGAUGAGCCUAGGUCGGAUUAGCUAGUUGGUGGGGUAAAGGCCUACCAAGGCGACGAUCCGUAACUGGUCUGAGAGGAUGAUCAGGCACGAUAGAAUGUAGAGACGGUCCAGAAUCCAACGGGAGGCAGGAGUGGGGAGUGUUGGAGCAUGGGCGAAUGUCUGAUAAAGGCCUCAAGCGUGUGGGAAGGAGGCCUUCGGAUUGUAGAACACCUUCGGUUGGGAGGAAGGGCAGUAAGUUAAUACCGUGCUGUUUUGACGUUACCAAGAGAAUAAGCACCGGCUAACUUCGUG
Molecule: ribosomal RNA, 484 nt
Filed under: uncultured bacterium
Lineage: Bacteria
Description: partial 16S ribosomal RNA
Rfam family: Bacterial small subunit ribosomal RNA
Source: RNAcentral